RNAcentral lists this ribosomal RNA (460 nucleotides) under uncultured bacterium. RNAcentral's name for it is "partial 16S ribosomal RNA". It matches the Rfam family "Bacterial small subunit ribosomal RNA", at positions 338 to 795 of the family's 1533-position model. The record is from RNAcentral.
CCUACGGGAGGCAGCAGUGAGGAAUAUUGGUCAAUGGACGAGAGUCUGAACCAGCCAAGUAGCGUGAAGGAUGACUGCCCUCUGGGUUGUAAACUUCUUUUAUAUGGGAAUAAAACGUUCCACGUGUGGGAUUUUGUAUGUACCAUAUGAAUAAGGAUCGGCUAACUCCGUGCCAGCAGCCGCGGUAAUACGGAGGAUCCGAGCGUUAUCCGGAUUUAUUGGGUUUAAAGGGAGCGUAGGUGGAUUGUUAAGUCAGUUGUGAAAGUUUGCGGCUCAACCGUAAAAUUGCAGUUGAAACUGGCAGUCUUGAGUACAGUAGAGGUGGGCGGAAUUCGUGGUGUAGCGGUGAAAUGCUUAGAUAUCACGAAGAACUCCGAUGGCGAAGGCAGUUCACUGGACUGCAACUGACACUGAGGCUCGAAAGUGUGGGUAUCAAACAGGAUUAGAUACCCUAGUAGUC